GCAGCCCGGGGCCACCACAGCCACAGCAGCCAGAGGCCGUCGCGCGUGUGUGUGUGUGCGCGGGGAAGCCGGAGGCCAGGUGAGAGCACGGGAGGGGCCGGUGCGUGGUGAUGGGGGGACGUGUGUGUGCACAGAGAGAGAGACGCACAAACAUGCGACUCCAUACAACCGCAGCAGCACACGGACAGACACACAGAGAGCGCAGGGAGACACAGAAACACAGAGAGCCCGGGACACGUGCCAGACACGCACAGGGACACACAGGGACACACACACAGACACAUGGACACACACGGACACACACAGAGACACAUAGACACACAGGGACACACACGGAGACACACAGACACACAGGGACACAGACAGAGACACACGGAGAUACACAGAGAGCCCAGGACACGUGCCAGACACGCACAGGGACACACACGGACACACACACAGACACAUGGACACACACGGACACACACAGAGACACAUAGACACACAGGGACACACACGGAGACACACAGACACACAGGGACACACACGGAGACACACAGACACACAGACACACACGGACAGAAACACAUGGAGACACACGGAGACACACGGACACAGACAGACACAGAGACACAGACGCAAAUGGACACACAGAGACACACAGAGAGAAACAACACACACUGACACUCACGGACACAGACAGACACACAGACAGAAACACACUGACAUGGACACCCACAGAUGCACAUGGACACCCGGACACACACACACGGACACACAGACAGAAACACAGACACACAGACACACAUGGACACAGACAGACACAGAGACACACACAUGGACACACGGACACACACACAGACACACAGACACACACACGGACACAGACAGACACAGAAACACACGGACACAGACAGACACACAGACAGACACACACAACACACACGGACACAGAGACAGACACAGACACACACACAGACACACACAGACAGACACACACACAGACACAGACACACAGACACACACACAGAUGCACGGACACACGGACGGACAGACAGACAGACAGACACACACACAGAUGCACGGACACACGGACGGACAGACAGACAGACACACAGACACACACACAGACGCACGGACACACCACACACACAAGCACACACACAUGCACAGACACACACACACACACACACACACAGAUGCACGGACACAUGGACAGACAGACAGACAGACAGACAGACAGAAACACAGACACACACACAGAUGCACGGACACACGGACGGACAGACAGACAGACAGACAGACAGACACACACACAGAUGCACGGACACACGGACGGACAGACAGACAGACAGACACACAGACACACACACAGAUGCACACACAGAUGCACGGACAGACAGACAGACACACACACACAGAUGCACGGACACAUGGACAGACAGACAGACAGACAGACAGACAGAAACACAGACACACACACAGAUGCACGGACACACGGACGGACAGACACACAGACAGACACACAGAUGCACAGACAGACAGACAGACAGACAGAAACAGAGACACACACACAGAUGCACGGACACACGGACAGACAGACACACAGACAGACACACAGAUGCACAGACAGACAGACAGACAGACAGAAACAGAGACACACACACAGAUGCACGGACACACGGACAGACAGACACACAGACAGACACACAGAUGCACAGACAGACAGACAGACAGAGAGACACACACACACACACAGACAGACACACAGACAGACACACAGACGCACAGACAGACAGACAGACAGACACACAGACAGACACACACGCGCACACGCACAG
This 1820-nucleotide long non-coding RNA is filed under the name Cricetulus griseus (Chinese hamster). RNAcentral's name for it is "lncRNA (ENSCGRG00000024685.1)". Lineage: Eukaryota; Metazoa; Chordata; Mammalia; Rodentia; Cricetidae. The record is from RNAcentral.